GCCGGGGUGCUCCUGGGAGAGCAGCCAGACUCCAAACCUGGCGCACAGUGUUCGAAUCACUGCACCGGCGCCA
RNAcentral lists this transfer RNA (73 nucleotides) under Terriglobia bacterium. Its description in RNAcentral is "tRNA-Trp". It matches the Rfam family "tRNA". Rfam says of the family: Transfer RNA (tRNA) molecules are approximately 80 nucleotides in length. Lineage: Bacteria; Pseudomonadati; Acidobacteriota; Terriglobia. The record is from RNAcentral.